Molecule: long non-coding RNA, 246 nt
Organism: Eriocheir sinensis (Chinese mitten crab)
Lineage: Eukaryota; Metazoa; Arthropoda; Malacostraca; Decapoda; Varunidae
Exons: 2
Source: RefSeq, a predicted model, not a curated record
ACACCCAUAAAAAAUUAUCAUGUACUCUGGCAAACAGGAUAAUUUUUUCUCUUCUAUCGCGAACUUUCUGGGCUCAAAACUCAACGAAACAAUGCUCGGAAACUCUGGCAACAUUGUUUUAUUUUCUUCUCUCGUAACAUCACGGUAAGGUUUUGGGGUUCACAACUACACCCAUAUUAAUUUACCAUGUACUCUGGCAAACAGGAUAAUUUUUUCUCUUCUAUUGCUAACUUUCUGGGCUCAAAA